Molecule: ribosomal RNA, 499 nt
Filed under: uncultured bacterium
Lineage: Bacteria
Description: bacterial SSU rRNA
Rfam family: Bacterial small subunit ribosomal RNA
Source: RNAcentral
AGCGACGUUAGCGGCGCGCCUAACACAUGCAAGUCGCACGAGAAAGGGAGCAAUCCCCGGUACAGUGGCGCACGGGUGAGUAACACGUAGAUGACCUUCCCUGGAGUGGGGGAUAACCUUCCGAAAGGAGGGCUAAUACCGCAUGAGACCACGAGGUCGAGAGGCCAUGAGGUCAAAGCCGGCCACUUCACGAAAGCUGGCGCUUGAGGAUGAACCUGCGGCCCAUCAGCUAGUUGGUAGGGUAACGGCCUACCAAGGCAAAGACGGGUAGCUGGUCUGAGAGGAUGAUCAGCCACACUGGAACUGAGACACGGUCCAGACUCCUACGGGAGGCAGCAGUGGGGAAUCUUGCGCAAUGGGCGAAAGCCUGACGCAGCGACGCCGCGUGGGUGAUGAAGGCCUUCGGGUUGUAAAGCCCUGUGGAGGGGGACGAAUAAGUCGGAGUUAAUACCUCGCGAUGAUGACGGUACCCCUUUAGCAAGCACCGGCUAACUCUGUG